AAUGAGUCCAUAAAAAGCUUAUUGCGCAGGUUCUCAGUACAGAGAGAUUAAUACAUAAGUACCACAAAACAAGGAUGAGAUUACGCAGAAGCGUACAUGAUAUGAGCCGAGUCAGAUCCUGCUGACUCUACACUAUAUUAGGGCUAAGAUAUCCAACAUAAUUCAAUCAGCACAAAUACUACAUGCCAGGCCGAACUUGCAAUCAGGAUUAUGUACCGAUCACUAAAGGUCUGUUCUUAUUUCUUCACCCUUUUUCUUAACAUAUUUCUUCCCCCUUUAUUUGUUGUAAUAUUUGCAACUCUUUUAACACAAGUACUGAUUCACCACAAGAAAGGUUAAUACAGCAAGAAGGUUUUGUCACAGGUGUUACCACAAGAAUUCCGCUGAACCUUUCCUAGCAUAGCUGAUAAAAGAGUGGCAAAUUGCCUUGUCAAUGAUACCGAAUGAGUCCAUAAAAAGCUUAUUGCGCAGGUUCUCAGUACAGAGAGAUUAAUACAUAAGUACCACAAAACAAGGAUGAGAUUACGCAGAAGCGUGCAUGAUAUGAGCCGAGUCAGAUCCUGCUGACUCUACACUAUAUUAGGGCUAAGAUAUCCAACAUAAUUCAGAUCUCAAAGCAUCGUCUAGACCCUGACCCCGGAAGGCCAAGAAGAGCACCUGAAAUGAGGAGGAUGUACUAGCCAGUCCCGACUAGAGCAGUCUACCAUAAUUAGAUGAGUGCAAUGCUGCUCUCGCCAC
This 738-nucleotide long non-coding RNA is filed under the name Triticum aestivum (bread wheat). RNAcentral's name for it is "long non-coding RNA (TAES_LNC022687)". Lineage: Eukaryota; Viridiplantae; Streptophyta; Magnoliopsida; Poales; Poaceae. The record is from RNAcentral.